AGGAAACAGAACCAGAGCCUCAGCUGGGCCCUUCUUGCGCUACACGUCAGUGUAUCUUGCAGGGCCAACUGGACAGAUGUGAGUCUCCUGCAACCCCUCAGCAUUGAAGGCCACAGGAAAACCUCUUUUUUCACUGAAGUUCUCCAAAAUACAAGCUGCUGCAGUAAAGACACCCAUGCCACACAGGAGGUCAAAAAGGUCGAGUGCAUCAGAGCCCAUCGAACAACAGACCGCAGACAGUGGCAGCGCUCAGCCUGCUGCUUGGCGACGACAGGCUGAACAAAGAGACUCCACCCCUCUGAAGCCUGGAAGCAACAGCCAGUGACCAGCUGAGAAAGGCCCCCAAAGCAAGAACUGAGUAAACAGCUGUGAAAAUCAGCCCCAUCUGAAAUAUGUCUCA
Molecule: non-coding RNA, 400 nt
Organism: Kogia breviceps (pygmy sperm whale)
Lineage: Eukaryota; Metazoa; Chordata; Mammalia; Artiodactyla; Physeteridae
Source: RefSeq, a predicted model, not a curated record